Molecule: ribosomal RNA, 253 nt
Filed under: uncultured bacterium
Lineage: Bacteria
Description: partial 16S ribosomal RNA
Rfam family: Bacterial small subunit ribosomal RNA
Source: RNAcentral
UACAGAGGGGGCAAGCGUUGUUCGGAAUUACUGGGCGUAAAGGGCGCGUAGGCGGCCUGCUAAGUCGAACGUGAAAUCCCCGAGCUCAACUCGGGAACUGCGUCCGAUACUGGCGGGCUUGAAUCCGGGAGAGGGAUGCGGAAUUCCAGGUGUAGCGGUGAAAUGCGUAGAUAUCUGGAGGAACACCGGUGGCGAAGGCGGCAUCCUGGACCGGUACUGACGCUGAAGCGCGAAAGCUAGGGGAGCAAACAGG